This 334-nucleotide unclassified non-coding RNA is filed under the name soil metagenome. RNAcentral describes it as "partial contains 5.8S ribosomal RNA, internal transcribed spacer 2, and large subunit ribosomal RNA". The stretch from base 1 to 120 matches the Rfam family "5.8S ribosomal RNA", at positions 35 to 154 of the family's 154-position model. The record is from RNAcentral.
GAUGAAGAACGUAGCGAAAUGCGAUAAGUAGUGUGAAUUGCAGAAUUCAGUGAAUCAUCGAAUCUUUGAACGCACAUUGCGCCCUAUGGUAUUCCGUAGGGCAUGCCUGUUCGAGCGUCAUUCAAACCUUCAAGCUCUGCUUGGUGUUGGGCGUCUGUCCUGCCUCACGGCGCGGACUCGCCUCAAAUCUAUUGGCGGCCGGCACGUUGGCUUCGAGCGCAGCAGAAACGCGAACUCGAGACCGGCGGAUCGGCUCCCAGAAGCUACCCCCAUGAAUUUGACCUCGGAUCAGGUAGGGAUACCCGCUGAACUUAAGCAUAUCAAAAGCGGAGGA